This 253-nucleotide ribosomal RNA is filed under the name uncultured bacterium. RNAcentral describes it as "partial 16S ribosomal RNA". It matches the Rfam family "Bacterial small subunit ribosomal RNA", at positions 524 to 776 of the family's 1533-position model. The record is from RNAcentral.
UACGUAGGGUGCGAGCGUUAAUCGGAAUUACUGGGCGUAAAGCGUGCGCAGGCGGUUUUGUAAGCUAGAUGUGAAAUCCCCGGGCUUAACUUGGGAAUGGCAUUUGGGACUGCAAGGCUGGAGUUCGGCAGAGGAGACUGGAAUUCCUGGUGUAGCAGUGAAAUGCGUAGAUAUCAGGAGGAAUACCGAUGGCGAAGGCAGGUCUCUGGGCUAUAACUGACGCUCAUGCACGAAAGCGUGGGGAGCAAACAGG